This 953-nucleotide ribosomal RNA is filed under the name Salmonella enterica subsp. enterica serovar Typhimurium. RNAcentral describes it as "partial 23S ribosomal RNA". It matches the Rfam family "Bacterial large subunit ribosomal RNA", at positions 200 to 1193 of the family's 2925-position model. Lineage: Bacteria; Pseudomonadati; Pseudomonadota; Gammaproteobacteria; Enterobacterales; Enterobacteriaceae. The record is from RNAcentral.
AUCUAAGUACCCCGAGGAAAAGAAAUCAACCGAGAUUCCCCCAGUAGCGGCGAGCGAACGGGGAGGAGCCCAGAGCCUGAAUCAGCAUGUGUGUUAGUGGAAGCGUCUGGAAAGGCGCGCGAUACAGGGUGACAGCCCCGUACACAAAAGCGCAUGUGCUGUGAGCUCGAUGAGUAGGGCGGGACACGUGGUAUCCUGUCUGAAUAUGGGGGGACCAUCCUCCAAGGCUAAAUACUCCUGACUGACCGAUAGUGAACCAGUACCGUGAGGGAAAGGCGAAAAGAACCCCGGCGAGGGGAGUGAAAAAGAACCUGAAACCGUGUACGUACAAGCAGUGGGAGCACCCUUCGGGGUGUGACUGCGUACCUUUUGUAUAAUGGGUCAGCGACUUAUAUUCUGUAGCAAGGUUAACCGUAUAGGGGAGCCGGAGGGAAACCGAGUCUUAAUUGGGCGUUAAGUUGCAGGGUAUAGACCCGAAACCCGGUGAUCUAGCCAUGGGCAGGUUGAAGGUUGGGUAACACUAACUGGAGGACCGAACCGACUAAUGUUGAAAAAUUAGCGGAUGACCUGUGGCUGGGGGUGAAAGGCCAAUCAAACCGGGAGAUAGCUGGUUCUCCCCGAAAGCUAUUUAGGUAGCGCCUCGUGAAUUCAUCUCCGGGGGUAGAGCACUGUUUCGGCUAGGGGGCCAUCCCGGCUUACCAACCCGAUGCAAACUGCGAAUACCGGAGAAUGUUAUCACGGGAGACACACGGCGGGUGCUAACGUCCGUCGUGAAGAGGGAAACAACCCAGACCGCCAGCUAAGGUCCCAAAGUCAUGGUUAAGUGGGAAACGAUGUGGGAAGGCCCAGACAGCCAGGAUGUUGGCUUAGAAGCAGCCAUCAUUUAAAGAAAGCGUAAUAGCUCACUGGUCGAGUCGGCCUGCGCGGAAGAUGUAACGGGGCUAAACCAUGCA